GAUGAAGAACGCAGCGAAAUGCGAUAAGUAAUGUGUAUUGCAGAAUUCAGUGAAUCAUCGAAUCUUUGAACGCACAUUGCGCCCGCCAGUAUUCUGGCGGGCAUGCCUGUUCGAGCGUCAUUACAACCCUCAGGCCCCCGGGCCUGGCGUUGGGGAUCGGCGGAGCCCCCCGUGGGCACACGCCGUCCCCCAAAUACAGUGGCGGUCCCGCCGCAGCUUCCAUCGCGUAGUAGCUAACACCUCGCGACUGGAGAGCGGCGCGGCCACGCCGUAAAACACCCAACUCUUCUGAAGUUGACCUCGAAUCAGGUAGGAAUACCCGCUGAACUUAAGCAUAUCAAUAAGCGGAGGA
Molecule: unclassified non-coding RNA, 352 nt
Filed under: soil metagenome
Description: partial contains 5.8S ribosomal RNA, internal transcribed spacer 2, and large subunit ribosomal RNA
Rfam family: 5.8S ribosomal RNA (bases 1-120)
Source: RNAcentral